Molecule: ribosomal RNA, 439 nt
Filed under: Staphylococcus aureus
Lineage: Bacteria; Bacillati; Bacillota; Bacilli; Caryophanales; Staphylococcaceae
Also listed under: 1 other name
Description: bacterial SSU rRNA
Rfam family: Bacterial small subunit ribosomal RNA
Source: RNAcentral
UCGAAGCAACGCGAAGAACCUUACCAAAUCUUGACAUCCUUUGACAACUCUAGAGAUAGAGCCUUCCCCUUCGGGGGACAAAGUGACAGGGGGUGCAUGGUUGUCGUCAGCUCGUGUCGUGAGAUGUUGGGUUAAGUCCCGCAACGAGCGCAACCCUUAAGCUUAGUUGCCAUCAUUAAGUUGGGCACUCUAAGUUGACUGCCGGUGACAAACCGGAGGAAGGUGGGGAUGACGUCAAAUCAUCAUGCCCCUUAUGAUUUGGGCUACACACGUGCUACAAUGGACAAUACAAAGGGCAGCGAAACCGCGAGGUCAAGCAAAUCCCAUAAAGUUGUUCUCAGUUCGGAUUGUAGUCUGCAACUCGACUACAUGAAGCUGGAAUCGCUAGUAAUCGUAGAUCAGCAUGCUACGGUGAAUACGUUCCCGGGUCUUGUACACA